Molecule: RNA transcript, 1793 nt
Organism: Lolium perenne
Lineage: Eukaryota; Viridiplantae; Streptophyta; Magnoliopsida; Poales; Poaceae
Gene name: probable amidase At4g34880
Source: RefSeq, a predicted model, not a curated record
UGUCAACAGUCGGGUCCUCUCCUCCUACAUCGCGCCACCAAGUGGCCGGCCAUGCUGCGGUACCUCGUACCGCUGCUCCUCGCGGCGGCCGCUGCCACCACCGCGACCGCCACGUUCGUGCUCGAUGAGGCCACCAUCGAGUCCAUCCACCGCGCCUUCGCCGGCGGCGCGCUCACCUCGCGCGGCCUCGUCGAGCUCUACCUGCGCCGCAUCGCGUCGCUCGACCCGGCCCUCCACGCCGUCGUAGAGCUCGACGCCGACGGCGCGCUCGCCGCCGCCGACCGCGCCGACGCCGCCCGCCUCCUAGGAGGCGCCUCGCUCCCGCCGCUGCACAGCAUCCCCGUGCUGAUCAAGGACAACAUCGCCGCGGCCGGCGCCUUAAACGCGACGGCCGGGUCGCUCGCGCUGGUCGGGUCCCGCCCCGCGCGCGACGCCGGCGUGGUCGAGCGGCUCCGGAGCGCCGGCGCGGUGGUCCUCGGCACCGCCAGCCUCAGCGAGUGGUGUAACUUCCGCGCCCCCGGCGUCCCCGCCGGCUGGAGCCCCCGCGGCGGGCAGGGCCUGAACCCAUACGUGCCGUCAGCGACGACGUGCUCCUCCAGCAGCGGCUCCGCCAUCGCUGCUGCGGCAAACAUGGUGGCGGUGACGAUCGGGACCGAGACUGAUGGGUCCAUCAUGUGCCCGUCAAGCUUCAACUCUGUUGUCGGGAUCAAGCCGACGGUCGGCCUCACGAGCCGUGCCGGCGUCAUCAUCAUUUCUCCAAGGAUGGACACAGUGGGCCCAAUCUGUAGGACUGUUUCAGAUGCAGUAAAUGUGUUGGAAGCAAUCGUUGGUUACGAUCCACGGGAUGCAGAGGCAACUCACAUGGCAUCUCAGUAUAUCCCGGAAGGCGGUUACAGGCAAUUCUUGAACAUAAAUGGUCUAAGAGGCAAGAGGAUUGGGGUUAUGAGGAAGGAUUUCUUCCUGUUUCCCCCCGGAUCCAUCAAAGAGAAGGUGUUUGGGGAGCACUUCGACACUAUGAGGCAAUUGGGUGCCAUAUUGGUGGACAAUCUUGAGAUACCAAGCAUGAAUGUCAUCAACGAUGCAGUACAAAGCGGCGAACGUGCUCUAAUGCUCGCCGAGUUCAAGCUGUCCCUCAACUCUUACCUGUCUGAGCUGGCCACCACACCUGUUAAAUCAUUAUCAGGCAUAAUUGAAUUCAACGACAAGCAUCCUGUCGCGGAAAGGAUGGCUGAAUUUGGCCAGAGUUACCUUGUGCAAUCUGAAGCAACAAACGGCAUUGGUCCGACUGAGGAGCGUGCCAUUGCCAAACUGAACAAACUGUGCGAGGAGGGCCUUGAGAAGAUUAUGCUAGUCAAUCAACUGGACGCAAUCGUCGCUCCUGGCGCAUCUGCUCAUAGCCUGCUUGCCAUCGGUGGCUACCCAGCGAUCACCAUCCCGGCCGGAUACGCGUCGGAUGGCGUUCCUUUUGCAAUCUGCUUUGGAGGGUUGAAAGGAUCAGAGCCGAAGCUUAUUGAGAUUUCUUAUUCCUUUGAGCAGGCAACGAAAGUCAGGAGGCCCCCACCAGUAUUGCAGCAUUCUUCCGUUUGAUUGUAGUGCUGUUUUUACCAGUUUGUCCAUGCAUUCACUGAAUUUCCUAGUAUUUUGGUAGUGAAGGUCCUAAAUGUGUUUGCCUCAUUAUGGGGAUAUAAUGACCUGUUGCAUACGCUGACAACAAGACCACAGGCCAUGUUUAUGCAUUUGAAGCAUCUAACUUGUACGAUAUUUAUCUUCUAUGAUGAUUCGAAUUCCCAUAA